Molecule: ribosomal RNA, 496 nt
Filed under: uncultured bacterium
Lineage: Bacteria
Description: partial 16S ribosomal RNA
Rfam family: Bacterial small subunit ribosomal RNA
Source: RNAcentral
GAUGAACGCUGGCGGCGUGCCUAAUACAUGCAAGUCGAGCGAACGGACGAGAAGCUUGCUUCUCUGAUGUUAGCGGCGGACGGGUGGGAACCCCUUGGUAACCCACCUUUUAGGCCGGGGUAAACUCGGGAAACCCGGGGCAAUACCGGGUAAUAUUUUUAACCCCCAUGGUCAAAAAUUGAAAACGGUUCUUCCUUUACCUUAAGAUGGAACCGCGCUGCAUUAGCUAGUUGGUAAGGUAAUGGCUUACCAAGGCAACGAUGCAUAGCCGACCUGAGAGGGUGAUCGGCCACACUGGAACUGAGACACGGUCCAGACUCCUACGGGAGGCAGCAGUAGGGAAUCUUCCGCAAUGGGCGAAAGCCUGACGGAGCAACGCCGCGUGAGUGAUGAAGGUCUUCGGAUCGUAGAACUCUGUUAUUAGGGAAGAACAUAUGUGUAAGUAACUGUGCACAUCUUGACGGUACCUAAUCAGAAAGCCACGGCUAACUACGUG